GUAACAAAUUGUCUUUUUAUCAGAUUCCCCGUGUCGUGGGCAGCAAGGCAAUACUGAAAGUAUCUAUUUAUCUGUUGGCAAUUUAAUUCUAUACUUGACUGGCCUGAAUUUGUCUAGCUAAGCAUCCGUCAUGGACACACCUUUGCCCACAUCGGUUUUAUGCAAGAAAAAUAACUAAACGUUAAAAACGUCGCAAUAGUAGAAAUGUGUAGUGAAUUCGCGGUUCGUGAAAAUAACGUGAACCCAUCCCGCCAUUAGACCGGAAAGGCUUUCAUCGUCUUGUUGCUAGGUGGCAGAGUCCAGUGCGUGAAUCAGAAAAAGGAGUGGCAACUGGAGCUCAUAAACGUGAGCAGGAGGGACGGGCAAGUGGUUACCUUUGGUCUGGAAACCGGCUUCAUCAGCUGCUCAGGUCGAAGUGAAUUUCUGGCCUUCGGGAGACACCAAGGAUCCCUUGUUGGUGUUGCUCUAGGCAUCACUGUACUAUUCGUUUCCGUAAGCAUCGUAAGUGACAACUUGCAUUUUCUUCCGAGUACGAGACCCUCCGUGUGUCGUGUAAUCAGACUAGCAGCCAUCGAAGAUACGCCCCUCAAAUUGACUGAUUAAACGGGACGCUGAAUUUCAGCUCGAAGGGAUCCAGUUGGGGGGCGCCAAACAAUGAAACCGAAACCAGUUCACUUUUCGUGUUCUUGUUUUUGUUGAGGAAACAAGAAGUCGAUACGUCCACCGUUUCAUCUCCAGUGUUGAAUGACCAGUCUUCAAGGAUACUCUAAAGGAAAAUCAUCGCUAUGAAUUUCUUGGUGUUUUUUCUCAUUAUCGCCACUGCCAUAGCAGCAUCUAUCCCCCUUGAGACUUCUAAUGUUAUUCGUAGGCCAUCGUUGACCAAUUCAUUAGCAGUUGCUGCCGACAACGAAGAAAGGCAAAAUCUCGAGCAGGUCUUUGUUGCAGCUACAGUUUUCGCAUCGGUGAAUAUAUAUUUGAUUUAUGUGAAAGCCACUCUCGUCACUGUUGUGGUAAUGUGCGCCUUGAACCCUACCGAUUGCUCGUUUCUCAACCCGGCCCCAACCGCUAAUAGUUUGGCCAGCAUCAACUUAGAGAACUUCGCAACUGGUGAUCGCCAACAGACUAAUGGUUUUGAUGAAAGCUUUAAACUCCCCCCAGCAUCCACAAUUGCCAAAAAUGCUGUCAUUGCAAAUAAUCAAAGACGUCCGUUUCCCGUCACUUUUCCUGCUUUUUGGAACCCCUACGUCAAUGUUCCAUUUGUUGCCUUUCAUCACGAGAUGCCAAACUCGAACGACCCACAUAUUGGUAGUUUCAUCCCAAAAUUGAACAGCUUCACCCGGUUCAACAAUCCUUCGCUUAUGGACACCUUAACGCCGCACGCCAAACUUCUGGUUCCAGUCGGCACCGUUUCGGAAACAACUCCUUAGUGAAUAAAUGAUGUUCUACUAUCUAACACACCCAUAUAGUUUUUUUCUCCUUGCAUACCUGUAGUUUGCCGUACUUUUCGAAAGACAAUUUGGAAUUAUAAUAAAUAAUAUUUGCUAUCUA
Daphnia magna is the source of this 1548-nucleotide RNA transcript. RefSeq lists it as uncharacterized. The transcript has 6 exons. NCBI's taxonomy places the organism in Eukaryota, Metazoa, Arthropoda, Branchiopoda, Diplostraca, Daphniidae. The record is from RefSeq and is a predicted model, not a curated record.